UGCAUGAACUUGAUAAACAACAUCAACCAUUUGGACCCAUUGUUGACACAUUGUUUUUCAUACCUGUGUUCACCUAAUUUGUACCCAUAGCAAACGUGUAAAGCUAGCUUAUAUAUAAUUUUUUUCAUAAUUUUAUAAUUAGUCAUUAUAGUUAAUUCCUUAUGCUUGGUUGUAAUACAAUAACCUUCAUUUUGUUUUAUUUAUUAAAAGCUAGCAAAAUUCCUGAAUUCAACCAGCUGAUUUAUCGGAACAGAUGGUGUGAGGCAUUAGACCGACUUCUUGAGACAACUAACUUCCCAGAGUUCACGGUCUGUGUCUUCCCUGCUCCAUGUGAAGGCUCUUGUGUGCUCGGUAUAAUCGAAAAUCCAGUCGCAUCAAUCGAUCAUAAACAAGGAUUUUGAGGAUGGAUUGAUGGUGCCUCGACCAUCCCUCAAGAGAACUGGAUUAAAAUGUAGCUGUUGUUGGAAGUGGUCAUGCUGGAUUAGUAGCUGCCGAUCAACUAAAUAGGAUAGGCCAUACAGUCAUCGUGUUUGAGCGCGCUGACUGAAACAGAGGACUCAUGUUGUAUGGGGUUCCUAAUUUGAAGCCUGACAAAACAACUUGGUUCAAAGACGGGUUGACAUGAUGGCUGAGGCACCUUUCGGUUGGUCUAUAUGGACAUGCUUGUUACGGAUCUAAAACACAGGUGAUACAAAAGUACCGGCAAGGGGCAGAGCGCUGGUUGCUACAAAUUUAAGCAUAGUUGUACAAAUCAAGAGAGCUAAGGGUGAGGCUGAGUCCAAAUACCUCUUUGGUUUGGGUAAUGCAUGUCAACGACAGGAUAUUAUGGAUGGGUUAAGAAGCAUCAAAACUGGCCACUAGUUACAAGUUCACUCUCCACCACAACAAUAACAAGAUGGCCACCAUUCCUAUGGAUGCAAGUUUGCAGCACUUUCACGUUCAGAAAAAGUGAGUUUAUGGACUUGAAGAAAACAUACUAGAAAUAGUUUUUAGUUUAUUUGUACAGUCAUUUCUUUUUGCAACUUCGUAGAUAGGUAUUGAUUAGAAGUUUGUCUUUCAUUAGUAUUCGAGUUGAAAAAUUAUGUACGGAUUUUCAGUUAUGGUUAUUAAUAUCAUUUGUUUUUAGGC
Molecule: long non-coding RNA, 1128 nt
Organism: Helianthus annuus (common sunflower)
Lineage: Eukaryota; Viridiplantae; Streptophyta; Magnoliopsida; Asterales; Asteraceae
Exons: 4
Source: RefSeq, a predicted model, not a curated record